RNAcentral lists this ribosomal RNA (520 nucleotides) under uncultured Glomus. RNAcentral's name for it is "SSU rRNA". It matches the Rfam family "Eukaryotic small subunit ribosomal RNA", at positions 569 to 1091 of the family's 1831-position model. The record is from RNAcentral. Lineage: Eukaryota; Fungi; Glomeromycota; Glomeromycetes; Glomerales; Glomeraceae.
AGCAGCCGCGGUAAUUCCAGCUCCAAUAGCGUAUAUUAAAGUUGUUGCAGUUAAAAAGCUCGUAGUUGAAUUUCGGGGUUAGUAGGUUGGUCAUGCCACUGGUAUGUACUGAUCUUACUGAUUCCUCCUUCCUGAUGAACCGUAAUGCCAUUAAUUUGGUGUUGCGGGGAGACUGGACUGUUACUUUGAAAAAAUUAGAGUGUUUAAAGCAGGCUAACGCUUGAAUACAUUAGCAUGGAAUAAUGAAAUAGGACGUUCGAUCCUAUUUUGUUGGUUUCUAGGAUUGACGUAAUGAUUAAUAGGGAUAGUUGGGGGCAUUAGUAUUCAAUUGUCAGAGGUGAAAUUCUUGGAUUUAUUGAAGACUAACUACUGCGAAAGCAUUUGCCAAGGAUGUUUUCAUUAAUCAAGAACGAAAGUUAGGGGAUCGAAGACGAUCAGAUACCGUCGUAGUCUUAACCAUAAACUAUGCCGACUAGGGAUCGGAUGAUGUUAAUUUUUAAUGACUCAUUCGGCGCCUUAA